This 253-nucleotide ribosomal RNA is filed under the name uncultured bacterium. RNAcentral describes it as "partial 16S ribosomal RNA". It matches the Rfam family "Bacterial small subunit ribosomal RNA", at positions 524 to 776 of the family's 1533-position model. The record is from RNAcentral.
UACAGAGGUCCCAAGCGUUGUUCGGAUUCACUGGGCGUAAAGGGUGCGUAGGUGGUGGGGUAAGUUUGAUGUGAAAUCUCCGAGCUUAACUCGGAAAUGGCAUUGAAUACUACUCUGCUAGAGGGUCGGAGGGGAGACUGGAAUUUUCGGUGUAGCAGUGAAAUUCGUAGAUAUUCGGAAGAACACCAGUGGCGAAGGCGGCUCACUGGCCCGGUACUGACGCUGAUGUGCGAAAGCGUGGGGAGCAAACAGG